This is a non-coding RNA of Podarcis raffonei (Aeolian wall lizard), 480 nucleotides long. Lineage: Eukaryota; Metazoa; Chordata; Lepidosauria; Squamata; Lacertidae. The record is from the annotation of a RefSeq genome assembly.
CCAACCCUUCAUCUUUAGCUCUUGGGAGAUUUAAGGAAGAAGCAGGAAGGUUUCUGACACUUUUCUGUUUCUUUUAGAAAUUCAAGCCCUUCUAGAGUCCUCACCAUGGUCUGGGCUCUGUCCUUCCUUGCACUUCUCAGCUACUUCUCAGGUGUCGUUUCACAACGUACUCUGACUCAGCCUGCCUCUGAAACUGUGUCCGUGGGGCAAACAGUUAAACUCUCCUGUACGUCCAGUGAUGGUCGCAGCAGCAGCUAUGUUGCCUUUUUUCAGCAGAGACCUGGACAGGCCCCUCGCUAUGUGCAGUACGUCGGCAGCAACAGGGGGGAAGGCAUCCCGGAUCGAUUCACUGCUUCCUUCUCUGGAAACACUGGCUUUUUAACCAUCACUGGCAUCCAGCCUGAAGAUGAGGCUGUCUAUUACUGUGGGGCUUGGUUUAACAGCGAUAGCUUGUUGCACGGUGAUCAAGUCUGAUGAGGA